Long non-coding RNA from Strigops habroptila (Kakapo), 2066 nucleotides. RefSeq lists it as uncharacterized. The record is from RefSeq and is a predicted model, not a curated record. NCBI's taxonomy places the organism in Eukaryota, Metazoa, Chordata, Aves, Psittaciformes, Psittacidae. The transcript is spliced from 2 exons.
GCAGCUCAUUUUCUUUGUUUUUAACUGCCGAACUGUUUAUCAGUAAUGCCUUGUAGCGUCUGUCGGUGGUCGGUGUGCAAACUCCCACAGAGAGGUUUUCAUGGUGUGUGUAUGCAGGCUCACUAUACAGAUGCUAUCUACACGCUUGCUGGAUAAUCAUCAUCUCAAAUCUUGAGCUUUAAUUACAAGGGAUAAUGUUGUUAAUCCACUGUUCCCAAAUUUGGCCACCUGCUUGUGCAGCCUGUUUGUGCAAUGGUAACUGGAGGCUGUGGAAGCCCUGCUCAGUGGUACUUGGAUGACUCCUUACCUUUGGCAGUGUCAAGUUAGGUGUUAGGCUGUUAAAAUGGGGGGAAAAAAACCAAUAUCAGGGUCACACAUUUACCGUACAGUCCUAAAAUGAGUCUUGGAUUAUUCACAGAUGCCUAAACACCAGCUGUUAACCUGAUUUUUGCAUGCGCUUCCCUAAUGUAAACUGACAGAGAAGAUGCAGAUUCCACAACACAAAUUCAAUAAAUGUUAUAUUCAAGUGUAUAAUUAAAGUAUUACUAAAAAUGAAGCUGCAGAAGACAUUCCUAGCUUGCUGCAUGAGAAUCCUGCAGAAGUUGAGACUUAGUGCGAAGUUCCAUCAAACUCUGGCAGAGUGCAUUAAGUUUUCAGCAUGGCUUUUAUUUGGCAGGUUGCUUGUCUGUGUAUGAUGUGUUGCCUCAUGGCUCUGCAGAAUGCAGGAUAAAUGGUAUAAUGAAGCCAGUGGCCUUAUACCAUGACAGCUGUUAGAUCCCAAGGAGUCUCACUGCCUCUUACAGUUACAUGGAUGUGGAUUUCUCCUCCUGUGAGAAGAUUUGGAAGAGCUAGAAGCAUACCGAUAAAUACUCUUGGGUGACAACAGGCAACAGCUCUAAGAUAAGAACCAAAUGGUUUUGCAGUCUGUGGUUUUUAUAUUUUGGUUGUCACUGUUUUGUGAUGUGACACUGGUACAAUCCAAUGGCUUGCACAUACACAACACAGCAAAGAAAAAGAGUGACACCAUGUGGUGUUCAUACGUGCAGUGGAGGUAGCGCUGUCAGUAUCUGCCUUCUGGAAAGUACAUAAGCCACAAAUUCCAAGCUUCAUCCUCAGAAACAGUGAAAGAAGUAGUUGAGGAAAUCUGUUAAAGACACUGAUAAUGCUGAGGAAGAAUCAGAAAGAGCAAGGAGAGAAAUAGGAAUAGCCAUAAAGGGUGAUACCCACAGAAAGCCAUGAAGAAACGAGACAGGAAAGCUGUCAAGAAAACCCUGCAGCUAGCACAGCUCCUGAUGGGUCAAGACUAAACAGCAUGUACAGCACGAAAGAAGAGCAUGGAAGCUUACGUGGAGCUUGGUUGCAUCCUGACUGAUGUUGGCUGUGAGUACUGUCCCACUUUGACCAAAACCCCCCAAAUUUUAAUGCUUUAUUCUUACACUAUUGCUGUCUGUUCUGUUUUAAUUGUAAACCCAACCUAACGUGUUGGGGUUUUUACUGAGUAUUCAGCACCUGGGUGGCAAUCACAGAUGUUCAGUAACAAGCACAGUUUUGUUCCCGAGCAGUCCUUUCCGUAUCAGGUGGUCUUUUGCUCUUCACUUAAAUACCGGGUUUGAAUAUGAUGUGAUGAUAAGUAAUGCUUGUCCUGAAUUCCAUAACAUUAACCAGCUGCUACUUUUCAACUUGAUGUGGUUAAAAGUGACUUUGACCUCUGAUUUCUGUGGAUAGAAUCUAGUGAUAGAAUCAAGUAGUCUGGAUAUAAUCCCUUGGUUUCUCUAGUGGUUCACUUUGUGGUCUUGUGCAGUUACUUAACCUCAUUUCCACAUCUCUACAACUACAAAUUAAAGGCAGUAAUUUUUCAGUACCUUACAAGAAAGUUGUUUAGAGAGCACGGGGGAAUUUCUGUGAUACUUUGAAAACUCAAAAUGUCAGCUGAAUUAUGUCUCUUUUUUAUUAUUAAUAUUGCACUUGUAGUGAAGAGACUUAUAAUCCUUCGAGAUGAAAAAUGCCAUAAAUGCAAGAUUUGUGCUUGAAAAGUUCAAUGAAAAAUUAAGGCAUUUCUGUUUCUC